RNAcentral lists this ribosomal RNA (495 nucleotides) under uncultured bacterium. RNAcentral describes it as "partial 16S ribosomal RNA". It matches the Rfam family "Bacterial small subunit ribosomal RNA", at positions 28 to 507 of the family's 1533-position model. The record is from RNAcentral.
GACGAACGCUGGCGGCGUGCCUAAUACAUGCAAGUAGAACGCUGAAGGAGGAGCUUGCUUCUCCGGAUGAGUUGCGAACGGGUGAGUAACGCGUAGGUAACCUGCCUGGUAGCGGGGGAUAACUAUUGGAAACGAUAGCUAAUACCGCAUAACAGUAGAUGUUGCAUGACAUUUGCUUAAAAGGUGCAAUUGCAUCACUACCAGAUGGACCUGCGUUGUAUUAGCUAGUUGGUGAGGUAACGGCUCACCAAGGCGACGAUACAUAGCCGACCUGAGAGGGGGAUCGGCCACACUGGGACUGAGACACGGCCCAGACUCCUACGGGAGGCAGCAGUAGGGAAUCUUCGGCAAUGGACGGAAGUCUGACCGAGCAACGCCGCGUGAGUGAAGAAGGUUUUCGGAUCGUAAAGCUCUGUUGUAAGAGAAGAACGAGUGUGAGAGUGGAAAGUUCACACUGUGACGGUAUCUUACCAGAAAGAGACGGCUAACUACGUG